UGGGAGAUCGUCUAAUGGCAGGACAAUGGACUCUGACUCCAUUAAUUUUGGUUCGAAUCCAAAUCUCCCAGCCA
This 74-nucleotide transfer RNA is filed under the name Candidatus Woesebacteria bacterium. RNAcentral's name for it is "tRNA-Gln". It matches the Rfam family "tRNA". From Rfam's summary of the family: Transfer RNA (tRNA) molecules are approximately 80 nucleotides in length. The record is from RNAcentral. Lineage: Bacteria; Candidatus Woeseibacteriota.